UACGGAGGGUGCAAGCGUUGUCCGGAUUUACUGGGUUUAAAGGGUCCGUAGGCGGAUUUUUAAGUCAGUGGUGAAAGCCUGCAGCUUAACUGUAGAACUGCCAUUGAUACUGAAAGUCUUGAGUGUAGUUGAGGUAGGCGGAAUUUAUGAUGUAGCGGUGAAAUGCAUAGAUAUCAUAAAGAACACCAAUUGCGAAGGCAGCUUACUAAACUAUUACUGACGCUCAGGGACGAAAGCGUGGGGAGCGAACAGG
RNAcentral lists this ribosomal RNA (253 nucleotides) under uncultured bacterium. Its description in RNAcentral is "partial 16S ribosomal RNA". It matches the Rfam family "Bacterial small subunit ribosomal RNA", at positions 524 to 776 of the family's 1533-position model. The record is from RNAcentral.